RNAcentral lists this ribosomal RNA (253 nucleotides) under uncultured bacterium. RNAcentral's name for it is "partial 16S ribosomal RNA". It matches the Rfam family "Bacterial small subunit ribosomal RNA", at positions 524 to 776 of the family's 1533-position model. The record is from RNAcentral.
GACGUAGGGCGCGAGCGUUGUCCGGAUUUAUUGGGCGUAAAGAGCUCGUAGGCGGCUUUUCAAGUGGCGGGUGAAAUCCCUCGGCUUAACCGAGGAACUGCCUGCCAGACUGGAUUGCUUGAGUCCGGGAGAGGUGAGUGGAAUUCCCAGUGUAGCGGUGAAAUGCGUAGAUAUUGGGAGGAACACCAGUGGCGAAGGCGGCUCACUGGACCGGAACUGACGCUGAGGCGCGAAAGCGUGGGGAGCAAACAGG